This 1239-nucleotide ribosomal RNA is filed under the name Iranian 'Bois noir' phytoplasma. RNAcentral describes it as "bacterial SSU rRNA". It matches the Rfam family "Bacterial small subunit ribosomal RNA", at positions 115 to 1356 of the family's 1533-position model. The record is from RNAcentral. Lineage: Bacteria; Bacillati; Mycoplasmatota; Mollicutes; Acholeplasmatales; Acholeplasmataceae.
GCGUAAGCAAUCUGCCCGUAAGACGAGGAUAACAGUUGGAAACGACAGCUAAGACUGGAUAGGAGAUAAGAAGGCAUCUUUUUAUUUUUAAAAGACCUAGCAAUAGGUAUGCUUAGGGAAGAGCUUGCGUCACAUUAGUUAGUUGGUGGGGUAAUGGCCUACCAAGACGAUGAUGUGUAGCCGGGCUGAGAGGUCGAACGGCCACAUUGGGACUGAGACACGGCCCAAACUCCUACGGGAGGCAGCAGUAAGGAAUUUUCGGCAAUGGAGGAAACUCUGACCGAGCAAUGCCGCGUGAACGAUGAAGUAUUUCGGUACGUAAAGUUCUUUUAUUAGGGAAGAAAAGAUGGUGGAAAAACCAUUAUGACGGUACCUAAUGAAUAAGCCCCGGCUAACUAUGUGCCAGCAGCCGCGGUAAUACAUAGGGGGCAAGCGUUAUCCGGAAUUAUUGGGCGUAAAGGGUGCGUAGGCGGUUAAAUAAGUUUAUGGUCUAAGUGCAACGCUCAACGUUGUGAUGCUAUAAAAACUGUUUAGCUAGAGUUGGAUAGAGGCAAGUGGAAUUCCGUGUGUAGUGGUAAAAUGCGUAAAUAUACGGAGGAACACCAGAAGCGAAGGCGGCUUGCUGGGUCUUAACUGACGCUGAGGCACGAAAGCGUGGGGAGCAAACAGGAUUAGAUACCCUGGUAGUCCACGCCCUAAACGAUGAGUACUAAACGUUGGAUAAAACCAGUGUUGAAGUUAACACAUUAAGUACUCCGCCUGAGUAGUACGUACGCAAGUAUGAAACUUAAAGGAAUUGACGGGACUCCGCACAAGCGGUGGAUCAUGUUGUUUAAUUCGAAGGUACCCGAAAAACCUCACCAGGUCUUGACAUGCUUUUGCAAAGCUGUAGAAAUACAGUGGAGGUUAUCAGAAGCACAGGUGGUGCAUGGUUGUCGUCAGCUCGUGUCGUGAGAUGUUGGGUUAAGUCCCCCAACGAGCGCAACCCUUGUUGUUAAUUGCCAUCAUUAAGUUGGGGACUUUAGCAAGACUGCCAAUGAUAAAUUGGAGGAAGGUGGGGACGACGUCAAAUCAUCAUGCCCCUUAUGACCUGGGCUACAAACGUGAUACAAUGGCUGUUACAAAGGGUAGCUAAAGCGUAAGCUUCUGGCGUAUCUCAAAAAAGCAGUCUCAGUUCGGAUUGAAGUCUGCAACUCGACUUCAUGAAGUUGGAAUCGCUAGUAAUCGCGAAUCAGCAUG